GUAGUCCACGCCCUAAACGAUGUCAACUGGUUGUUGGAAGAGUGAUCUUUCAGUAACGAAGCUAACGCGAGAAGUUGACCGCCUGGGGAGUACGGCCGCAAGGUUAAAACUCAAAGAAAUUGACGGGGACCCGCACAAGCGGUGGAUGAUGUGGAUUAAUUCGAUGCAACGCGAAAAACCUUACCUACCCUUGACAUGUACGGAAUCCUGCAGAGAUGUGGGAGUGCUCGAAAGAGAGCCGUAACACAGGUGCUGCAUGGCUGUCGUCAGCUCGUGUCGUGAGAUGUUGGGUUAAGUCCCGCAACGAGCGCAACCCUUGUCAUUAGUUGCCAUCAUUUAGUUGGGCACUCUAAUGAGACUGCCGGGGACAACUCGGA
RNAcentral lists this ribosomal RNA (377 nucleotides) under uncultured bacterium. Its description in RNAcentral is "bacterial SSU rRNA". It matches the Rfam family "Bacterial small subunit ribosomal RNA", at positions 790 to 1167 of the family's 1533-position model. The record is from RNAcentral.